CAGCAGCCGCGGUAAUACGUAGGUCCCGAGCGUUGUCCGGAUUUAUUGGGCGUAAAGGGGGCGCAGGCGGUUUAGUAAGUCUGGAGUUAAAGGCAUUGGCUCAACCAAUGUAUGCUUUGGAAACUGUUUGACUUGAGUGCAGAAGGGGAGAGUGGAAUUCCAUGUGUAGCGGAGAAAUGCGUAGAUAUAUGGAGGAACACCGGUGGCGAAAGCGGCUCUCUGGUCUGUCACUGACGCUGAGGCUCGAAAGCGUGGGUAGCGAACAGGAUUAGAUACCCCAGUAGUCCCUGUCUCUUAUACA
This 301-nucleotide ribosomal RNA is filed under the name uncultured bacterium. Its description in RNAcentral is "partial 16S ribosomal RNA". It matches the Rfam family "Bacterial small subunit ribosomal RNA", at positions 509 to 808 of the family's 1533-position model. The record is from RNAcentral.